GAUGAACGCUGGCGGCGUGCCUAAUACAUGCCAGUCGAGCGAACAGACGAGGAGCUUGCUCCUCUGACGUUAGCGGCGGACAGGUGAGUAACACGUGGAUAACCUACCUAUAAGACUGGGAUAACUUCGGGAAACCGGAGCUAAUACCGGAUAAUAUAUUGAACCGCAUGGUUCAAUAGUGAAAGGCGGUUUUGCUGUCACUUAUAGAUGGAUCCGCGCCGCAUUAGCUAGUUGGUAAGGUAACGGCUUACCAAGGCAACGAUGCGUAGCCGACCUGAGAGGGUGAUCGGCCACACUGGAACUGAGACACGGUCCAGACUCCUACGGGAGGCAGCAGUAGGGAAUCUUCCGCAAUGGGCGAAAGCCUGACGGAGCAACGCCGCGUGAGUGAUGAAGGUCUUCGGAUCGUAAAACUCUGUUAUUAGGGAAGAACAAAUGUGUAAGUAACUAUGCACGUCUUGACGGUACCUAAUCAGAAAGCCACGGCUAACUACGUG
RNAcentral lists this ribosomal RNA (497 nucleotides) under uncultured bacterium. RNAcentral describes it as "partial 16S ribosomal RNA". It matches the Rfam family "Bacterial small subunit ribosomal RNA", at positions 28 to 507 of the family's 1533-position model. The record is from RNAcentral.